RNAcentral lists this ribosomal RNA (254 nucleotides) under uncultured bacterium. Its description in RNAcentral is "partial 16S ribosomal RNA". It matches the Rfam family "Bacterial small subunit ribosomal RNA", at positions 524 to 776 of the family's 1533-position model. The record is from RNAcentral.
UACGGGGGGAGCAAGCGUUGUUCGGAUUUACUGGGCGUAAAGGGCGCGUAGGCGGUCAGCACAAGUCAGUUGUGAAAUCUCCGGGCUUAACUCGGAAAGGUCAACUGAUACUGUGCGACUAGAGUGCAGAAGGGGCAACUGGAAUUCUCGGUGUAGCGGUGAAAUGCGUAGAUAUCGAGAGGAACACCUGCGGCGAAGGCGGGUUGCUGGGCUGACACUGACGCUCAGGCACGAAAGCGUGGGGAGCAAACAGG